GGAGUCUUGAACAAAGGAGGUGCUCUUCCAUCCUUCAUUUUGACAAGGGAUCUACUUCGGGUUGAUCUCCAUCAUGACACACAGAGGCUUAUAUGGCGCAUGAUACUGAUGUUGAUAGCAAGCUCCAAGAGAUGAACCAACUAAUCAAGACAUUACAUCAUCAAGCCUUAGAUUGAAAUGAUGGAAUCGAUUUUCGUAUCGAUUCAUCCUUCAACAACAGGAUCAUGUAGCAGAUGCUGCUCGUCCACUUCAAGAUGCCAUAAUUAGCAAUCUUCGAUGGGUCGACUAAUCUGG
This 294-nucleotide long non-coding RNA is filed under the name Elaeis guineensis (African oil palm). RNAcentral describes it as "long non-coding RNA (EGUI_LNC033337)". Lineage: Eukaryota; Viridiplantae; Streptophyta; Magnoliopsida; Arecales; Arecaceae. The record is from RNAcentral.